UAUGGCCAUUUUCACUCUAUUAAUCCUUCCUACCCAGGAGCAGGGGAUGUCUGUCCAUUUUCUGAUAUCAUCUUCAAUCUCUCUUUUCAGAGUGCCAUAGUUUUCAGAGAAGAGGUCUUUGGUUUCUUUAGUUGGGAUGAUUCUUAGGUAUUUCAGUUUUGUGGAUGCCAUUGUGAAAGGAAUUAUUUGCCCUAUUUCUCUCUCAGUGAGUCUGUCAUUCGUGUAGAGGAAAGCUAUUGAUUUUUGUGUGUUGACCUUGUAACCAGCUACUUGACUGAAUUGGGUUACUAAGUCUAGAAGACUUUUGGUGGCAUUCUUGGGGUCUUCUCUAUAGAGUAUCAUGUCAUCUGCAAAUAAUGACAGUUUCACUUCUUCAUUACCGAUCUUGAUUCCUUUUAUUUCUUUCUCUUGUCUAAUUGCUAUGGCUAAUGUUUCCAGAACUGUAUUGAACAAGAGUGGUGAUAGUGGACAUCCUUGUCUUGUUCCUGAUUUUAGUGUGAAGGAUUUCAGUUUUUGACCAUUUAGUGUGAUGUUGGCUGUUGGUUUUUCAUAGAUGGCUUCUAUCAGUUUGAGGUAGAGACCAUCUAUUCCAAUUUUUUGUAGGGUUUUAAUCAUAAAUGCAUGUUGGCUUUUGUCAAAUGCUUUUUCUGCAUCUAUGGAGAUAAUCAUAUGGUUUUUGUCCUUGGCUCUAUUGAUAUAGUGUAUUACAUUGAUUGAUUUGCAUAUAUUGAACCAUCCCUGCAUCCCUGGGAUGAAUCCCACUUGAUCAGGGUGUAUGAUCUCCUUGAUGAUCUUCUGCAUUCUGUUUGCUAUUAUCUUAUUAAAGAUUUUUGCAUUUCUGUUCAUUAGUGAGAUUGGCCUAUAGUUCUCUUCUUCAGUUGGGUCUUUCUCUGCUUUGGGGAUCAAGGUGAUGCUUGCUUCCAGGAAUGAAUUUGGGAGUAUUGCUUCCCUUUCAAUUUCAUUGAAGAGUUUAAACAGUAGUGGCAGCAGUUCCUCUCUAAAUGUCUUGUAGAAUUCAGCCAUCAGGGUGAAGCCAUCAGGGCCUGGGCUUUUCUUAGUUGAUAAGUUUUUAAUUACAUUUUCAAUUUCAUUGGUUGAUAUUGGGUUGUUCAGAAUUUUU
Molecule: long non-coding RNA, 1120 nt
Filed under: Heterocephalus glaber (naked mole-rat)
Lineage: Eukaryota; Metazoa; Chordata; Mammalia; Rodentia; Bathyergidae
Description: lncRNA (ENSHGLG00000034904.1)
Source: RNAcentral